Molecule: long non-coding RNA, 8641 nt
Filed under: Taeniopygia guttata (zebra finch)
Lineage: Eukaryota; Metazoa; Chordata; Aves; Passeriformes; Estrildidae
Description: lncRNA (ENSTGUG00000027768.1)
Source: RNAcentral
AGGAAUAGAAAAGGUUGGAAAUAAGCCACGAGCAGUGUUUAAUGAGUAAUCUGCAGUAGCAAUGUCUUCUGAAGACUGGUCUUCUUUCCCAAAGUGACAAAGUCUUUCUUUUUUUUUUUUUCCUUCCACCACUACCAGAACAACACAAGACUCCUAAUCCCUUUAGUGCAUAUGGAGGACAUAGAUCUUUUCCCUGGGAGUCUGGCAGUCUUACUUGUCUAAGCAUGAAAUCUGAAAGAGCAAAACAGGGUAGGGAAUUACUCCUUGAGAAUUUCACCAUCUCAGACUACAAGUCACUGUCUGAUCUGCAACAAGUUCCCAAAACAUUACUUUUUGUUUUAAACACUGGCAUAUUGCAAGACUUAAAAGGUAGAGGAAAUGUAUUUUAAUUUUUUUGGAACCACAGAACCACCAUUAACUUCAUGUUCUGCAAUUCUGUCAUUUUAUGGUUUACAUGUGUGUUCUUCACCACUCAGGUAUCCUGUACCGUGGAUAUGCACUCUUCCAUAUUUUCUUUUCAUAAACAAAACCAAGAUUCUUUGCCAGGUACUCAUUUUACGUCAGGCUAUUCUCCAAGUAGAUUAUAGAAUUCAGGUUCUCUCUUAUGUACAUGGGCAGAACUAAAGUCAAAGGAGAUGUGACCACUGCAUGCAAGAAAUGCCUUCCAUUCUGGUGGUUUUGUAAAGUUUGAGAUUCCAACAAACCUUUCUUAAUCCGCUCUGGUUUCAUUUUGCCACAUCACAAAUGAAAACUCUGGUGUCAAUGAAUAUGCAAAAGCCAAAAUUUUGACACCAACAUUUCACUGUGGUAACACUGUCUAUAAAUUAUCAACUGAACAUACUCUGUCAGGAUUCAAAGACAAUAAAAGCAGGUUCUAUGCUCGGUUUGUACAAAAUACGUAAUAUGGAUGUGGAAUGUAUAUUACACCUUCCUUCUGAGAGAUAAAUUUAGUUCAGGACCUUGGCAUAUGCUCCACUUCAGGAAGUGAAGGAAAAUGGAAGAAUUAUUCCCUUCACAAUUACAUUAAAGCGUCCCUUUUUCUUUAUAAUCUCUUGCAUAUAAAACCUUUUACUAUCAAUGAGGGGAAAUGGCUGUAUAUAUACUUUAUAUACAGCCCUCCAUGUUGUGACAGCUUUUUCUUUCAGCCAGUGGUCGAGGAUAAUCACGGAAGGAUUACCCAUCUGUUCUUGCCAUGUGGCAUUCUGUCUCAGUAAGGAGAUACUGCAGUCCGCAGCUUCCUGCAGUUCUUUUUUUUUCUGAUGUUCUCUCAUUAACUAAAAAUUGUUUUAUUAUCCAUCCGAGUUGCUAAGUUGGAAAGUCUGGAAGACUCAUGAAGGUGACCUACUUUGGAUUAUCUGAAUUAGAACUAUCCGCUGCCUGUUGCAAAUAGCAUUUUGUUUAGAUGCAGAAGGUUUCUUUGGCUUGGGCUUUCAUUCUAGGGUUUGCUUUUUCUGUCCACCUGAUGGAAAAAAACAAGUGGUACACAAAGAAGAGUAAUCAAAGGAGAAGAGAUGGAAAAAAGAGAUUUUUUCACUAAGAGUGACUCUGUAGGUUGUGUUUAGAUGAUUAGCCAGUUUUUCGGAACACCCAACAGUUUUUAGACUACAUUUUCUAUGAUGUCAUACCAGUGAAAAGUAUAUGUAAAGAUUUAUCCCAGUAACCACCUGAAACAUGUUCUAUGUGUCUAAACUUCUACUGAGAUAUCACUAUCACUUGCUACAGGAAUAAUAACUAGAAAGGAAACAAGGUUUUCAAGAAGAUUUCCAUAGAUUUUCAUUUUUCCUAACACUGGAAAAUACAGUACUUUAAAGACAAAGUUUUAUUCUUAACCUCCUGAUAUGAUACAAAUUCAUCUGUAUGAAAGCUUGCUCUGAAAACAUAUCUGAUUAAAUAGUGUGACUGUUUUUCGUAAACAGAGCCAUUUUGUGGUAAUUGAUUUAAUACAAGCUUUUCUGUCAGGAAACAUUGUUUAUAAUGGCAUGUCAAACCCAGUAUUGGCAGCCUCAACAGAUCAUUUGCUACUACCAAUGCACUUGUGUCCCUUUUGCACACUGGGCAGUCCCACAGAACAGAACGUGUCACUCUUUGCCAAUGUGUGACAGUGCAUUUGCCUGAUCUUCUGCACAAAGUCUCCAAACCCUUGGACAAAGCUUCCCAGGGCAGGAAGUGGGAGAAGUGCAUUUGUGCCAUUGUCCCUGGGAGAGGGGAAUGAACAGGUAGUUUGAAUUCCUUCUUCAGUUUCUAACAGCUGAGUUGGCAAUAGAGUGCUUCAGCUUCCCUCUGACACUGGUCUGCCAACACCAUGGGCUGUGUGGGAUAUUACACAGCGAAGACAAUUAUACAUAUUUAAGCAAACAAACUUGAUAACUAUCAUUAAUCUUCCUGUAUUUAGAAAGUCAUUAGCAAAAGCAGGUGCAAAAACCUGCUUGGCUGUAAUUUGGAUGUUACAAGAAAAGGAAGAUUUCAGACAAGGUAUUUGAUGUGCCUUAAAAGAUAUACGGGGUUUUUUUUGUAAGAGUAAGGCAUUAGUCCAUGUAUGAAAAAGAUGACUGUGUCAUACAUUUUAUCUUCUGAGCUGAAAGGGGUUCACAAGGAUCAUCAAGUCCAAGUGAAUGGCCCAGACACAGAAAUCCAACCCAAAACCUUGGCACUAUUAGCACCAUGCUCCAACUGAGUCAAUCCCAGUUUUGGUCUGUAUGGUUUGGGCUUUGUAAUGAUUUCUGCUUUGAUGAGCUUGAGGGCUGGAAGGAAAAAGAGCUGGUAAACCUAUCUGUCCACAUCAGCAAGCUCACACAAAACACAGCAGCUCCCUGCAAUUUGCAGAGCUGUGCUGCUGACCGUGCCUGAGCAGAGGCUAUGCUCAGUGCUGGCUUGCACACACUUGGAAUCAGUGCUUUGUCUGCUGGUGUGUCAGCCUGCAGCUGCACAAGUCAGGUGUGCUUGGACACGGCCCAGUUACACCACAGUACAGCACAUACUAUUGUAACCACGUUUAAGGAGAGGGCAUGGUUUAGUGCCCACCAUUGCAGCUCCAUCAAUUUGAAAAUUGAUUCUCAUCUCACAUAGGAGCGCUGUGGAUGUGCUGACUCUUCAGUGGGGGCUGCUGGAGGCACAGGCUUGUUUGCUCUGUGGUCUCACUGAGGGAGAUACUAAAUUCUGCUGCUUCUACUUCAUUCAGAUCUGCCUUAUAAGACAGAGAUAUUUACAUGACUGCAGUUCUACCUUUUGAACAGUACAGUUCUUGGCUGACAACUCAGUGCUGAAAUUACUGGUUCCUUCCACCUAUUUCAUUAUUAAGCUGUGGGGAUGACACACAUCUGACAACUCAUUUGCCUGGAGAACGCUGUGCUCCAAAAGGCCAGGAGGUGUUUGCCACUGUUGUGGUGGUGAGGUGACGUGCAGGAGACACUGCCUGUGUAGUUCAUUGCAGAACUGCUCAAAUACCUCAAUACCUGUAUGCACAAAACCCAGGAUAUACAUGUAUGGGCCUUUUGAAUAGACAAGUAGGUGCCAUGGAUUAAAGUGUAGCUCACAGAAUACAGAUUAGGGAUUGGAAUUUAAAUUGCAGUACUUUGCCCCAGGACUGAUGCUAAAAGGUGUUACAUUUCUUGUACAGGCAGAGAAAAUUAAGAAAAGAAACUAAAUAUUAUUCAGUGAAAGGGAAAAUAAGCAGACCCUACCUAAGUGGUUACACUGUGCUUUUAAAACAAUUCAAGUAUUCUCCAAAUUACAGCAAAAGAUAAAUUCUUCAGGAAAUCCAUAACAAGUUAUUUGUAUAUAUUGUGCAAGUCACCCGUAAGAUCAAACAAAAUGUUAUGAUGAACUUUAAUCCAACUUCUGAAUUGUAGUAAAUUUUGACAGCACAUGAAUGAUCCACUUCGACACAAUCUGCAUUUUCAACAAAGUGACUGAUGUGACAUAUGGCUUUUUUGCCCUGGGAUGGCUUCUAGUAUUGCAAUGUAAUAGUGGCACACACCUUUCUUGAUUAGUGAAGUUUUGCAUUAGAUAUUUCUUUCGAUGAAAAGUAUUACAAUAAAAUAUUUUAUAUUGCUCAUUAUGUAAAUAAGCACCUGAAAUUCCUAUAAAUUCAAGCAAUUAGGUCUCAACCCAGGAAAGCACUUAAUGACAUGUAUGGUCCCAUUGAAUCUGGGGACAUAUGCAAGGGCUUCACUCAAAACAUGUAAUUAGGAGCUUUGCUGAGUUAAGGCCUUACAAAAUGAUGCUAUGCAGAUCAGCUACUAUUCAUAAAAUAUAAUUUAGCGACUAAGGUAAUUUGCUUGUUAGCCAAAAAAGAGGCUCUAGACUCCUUCUGAAAAAAUUAUAUACAGGCAGAUUUCACAUUGCUAUUACCUCCUUAACCCUGAUCCUCAGAUUUACACAACUGUUGAUGAGACUGUAGCUGAUCCUAUACAACAUUGAAACUUCUCAAAUGGCCACAUUCUUGCCUGGAAACGGAACCAACAAAUUUGGUACAGCUAGAUGAACUCCACUGAAACAGAUUCUUACCUCAGACUUUGAUUUACAUGAGCACAGAUGAAAAAUGCAAAGAGGAUCUGUAUCAUUUAUUUUUAAGCCCCAUGUGGUGAAGAAAAAGGCAUAUUAUGCAUUGCAUGCAUUAUUCUCUACUUUGUGCUGUAUAUAAUUGGCAGAGCUUUUCAGUGAAAAAACUAUCUGGCCAAAUUCUCAGAGCCUCGUGCUCUGCAAAAAGCUGUCUUAAGUUAAUCUAUAUUAGGAGUAAUAUUCAAGUUGACUGCACUCAUAUGAAAAAUGUAUUUUAAAAGGUCUAGAAGAUACAAUCUGCUAUUUCUUGCCUGUCUUUUUUCCCUGCUGUUGUUGGUCUCUCACGGGAUUUCUUGCAGAGUGGUUAAGUGAUCUAUACUGAGGUUUCAAAAGCAAAGAUAAUAGGAAUUCUCUUCAUGGGUUAAACACUUAACUGCUUUAAUACAAGAUGUGUAGGAGCAGCCCCUAAUAACAUUCAAAUCUUGUUAUUGCUGUGCUUCAGUAUAGGAUAUACUUGGUUUUGUGGCUGCAAGAAGCAAUUGCCAGAGAUGAUUUUAAAUCCUGAACAGCAAAUAAAUCCCAGCACAUGGAAAAGAUGCCUGAUUUUGCUCUUACAGCAGGGCAUCUUUGGACUUCACCACGCUGGCUCCUGACUUACAGCAAUGAAAGCGACCCAGAGCAGUCAGUGCUGGUACCAUACCUACCCUGGGGUCUGGCUGCAGGGGCACCAGCUCUUAACUACACAUUGGCCUAAUAUUUCUAACCCUUCUUUUGCAAAACACUGCUGCCUGUUCUUAGGGUCUUGGCCAUUCCCCUAAAAACAGUAUUGUGGCAAGCUCUAAGCCUUCAGUAUAUUGGAAUCACAUGUCCAACUUAUUUUUCUUACAUUCUCCAAGGCUAGCUAGUACUUGUCACCAUUCCCUGGUGGAGACAAUUCUACUGAAAACAUUUACAGGAACACUCCUACAGUUCCUCAAGCAAAUUUGUCUGACACAGCUCGGACUAUCCAUUUAUAAAUUUUAAACUUACCCAGCUGGCUCUGUCAGAAGCCUAUUAGGCAGCAUUCUCACAAACUGCUCUCCUUCAGAGUAGUAAAGACUAUUUGAGAAUGGUGAUUUUGUCCUCUGACACAGCUGGACUGGAAAGGAAGUGGAAAUGAGUGAAAAGAGCAACCCCUCCCCAGGUUUCUAAGUAAUUGUGCAAAAGGGCUAAAAAACCACUUAGUCUUACUGUGGAGAAAUGAAAAUGAGCAUUCUGAAAAAGGAGAAACACUUCUGGCUCUCUUGUUCUUUGUCUCACAUUGCCAUUUGCUUCCUUCUCUGGACUAACCUGCAAAAUAUUACCAAGCACAGCUGUCACAGGAAAUCUUGUGGUGGAGAAAGUGCUGUACCACCCCUUGCUAAAAGUCAAUGAGUACACCAUCCAAGGCCUUAACUCAGCAUGAGGUCACAUUGGAAAUGGUAAAUUCUGUGACACAGACUAUCUGUGCUCUGUCGUAAGGGGAAAAAAAGAUAACUGAAAAUAUGUAUUAUAUAUCUUAGGACAAUAUUAGUAGAUAUGCUCAUGGCCUUGAAAUAUACAUAAGGCUGUUGCAAACAGAAAAGCAAUUAAUUGUUCUGAGUUCAAUUACAACAAGAAAAUGUUUAGAAAGACACUAAUAAAACUUUCUAGGCACUGUUUAAAUCAUUUAGGGAAGUGUGAGGUUUUCCAAAAACAGUUUAGAUUAAUAAACUGUUGGAAUGGCUUCAGUGCUUCUGAUUUUCCCUGAGGACAAAAUGAGUUUUCAGGAUCCCUUCCAUUCCAAUAUGUAGCAAUACACAGAACGUGCUAGCAGGUGAACCAAAGGAGCAGGAGCCUGCCCAUUCCACGUGGAAACACAGAUGAACUUGACGUUUCCUAUCUGCAAAUCAGGAUGCUAGAAAAAUAAACACAAUAUCAAUAGAUAGUAUUAUUUCAUUGAAAGACUCUAGAGAAACACUUGCAAUGAGAAGAUCCAAUCGUGCCUUAAGAAAUGCUAGCAAAGAGCAGAAACAGGAGGCCUGAAUUCAGUGUUUGUGGCAGCUGGCGUUUGCCACCCCAGCGGGCAGCGGCAGCGAGGUCGGGCAGUGCAAGGAGCUCCAGCCUGUGGGCAGCUCCUCUGCAUCCCUCCUGUGGAGGUUAAUUCAGCUUUUACCUGACUGAGCUCACCCUCUGGCUGCAGCACUCAUCCUGCAUGCAGAUCCCUGGCUCUCUCUUGCACGUUGCAUGCACUGCAACGGCGUGGCCGAGAUUGCGCCUCUCCUUCAGAAUUCAUGUUAGCAAACAGCUAAAUACGGCUUUUGGCCGCCAAAUUUCAGUUUCAUUGCUGUCAGAACAUCACUUAUCAUGGCUGGGCUAUAAUUUUCAGGCUUGUAAAACCUCAAUUGUCAUGUUUGGAUUUUCUUUAACACUUAUUAUAAAUGCAUGAAUUUGAUUUGUGUAGAAUGGAAUGACUCUCAGUGGCUCAGGGAUUUGGCAAAAAGCAUCAUACAUUUCAUCAAAAUUCUGUUUGGCCUAGAGAGGCGUUACAAUUCUAGAUAAAAAAUGUGCUUUUUUAAUGCAGAAGUAAUUUGUAAUAGAAUGUUCCAAAAUAAUUCUGUAUUAAAGAAGAACUGAAACAAAACCAACAUGAUCUUUUCCUCUCCACCAUGGGAAUUAAUUCAGAUUGAGAAAAUGGAAUUGAGAGAAUCUGAUUUGACACAUUUUGCAAAAUGCAUGGUGGGUGAGUGCAGGGGAAGGAAGCAGUUCCAUCACCUUGAGCAGGAGGCCAAGAAGUGAGCACAUACAGUUCCUUGCAGUAAUCCUUGGAGCUGUCUAGGAGCCUUAGGUAGCAUUAGGGAGCAGCAACAUUUGUGUAAAUCAUAAUUAGUAACAAAGGAAAUUACAGUGAGAGCUCUUUGGUAAACAGAAAGACUGCCGAAAAUUGCUUCCUUUUAGUAGGACAAUUUGGGUUAUUUAUAGGCAUCUAAACAUUUAGGAAAAUCUAGGAAGAAUCUUAAAAUGCCAUAUUUCUAAAACAAAAGAUAAAAUUUUACCCUUUUUGGGUCAUAUAACUUGGAGCUAUAUUUACAUUUGGUUGAAGCAUUUGACUAAGCAAAUACAUAUGUAUGAGGUCUUAUUUUUACACUUAAUUUUGGUGUUUUGGUAAAUGCAAAUGAUGGAAGAAGUUGAUAUGAAUAAAUUGGCACCAGCUUAGAAGUCACCUCAUUGCAAAGCAAGAGACAUUUGGGAUUGUUCAUCACCUUGCUACAGGGAAAGCUUCUGGUGUUAAGUCAGUCAGCCACAUGUUAUGUAUCAGGAAUGUUUUCAACUCUAGGCUGAGGAACUACAAGCUCUUGAAGGAGCCAAGAAACACAUGUAAUACUUGAGCAUGUUUACUGUAAAAUGAAGGGCUAUUUUAUCUCAAUCAAAUAAACCAGCAAGUGAACUGAAAAUCUGAUACUGAAAUAAAUCCAAUUUACUCUCGUGUAAUUGCUUAUUUGAUUCUCAACUAUGACAUGAAGUUAGAAAACAAAUUGAUAUUCUGUCACUUCUGUUUCAGUAAACUUAACUCAAACAAGUUGCCCUUUAGGUGCAUCUUGGAUGGAACGGUACUUUAUCUUCAUCCCAAGGAAAUCAGUGUAUUAAAUUUGUUUGAAAAAUUAUUAUCCAAAUCAUGACUCCUUUUCAGACAGUGUUUGAACUGCAUACUAAAAAGGCCAAAUUUCCCCUGAGAGCCAGCACAAGCACAGAGAAGAUAAGUACUGUAGUAUAUCCUCCCCCUGCAAGAAAAUGUACCAGCAGCAAAGACACAACAGAGCCACGCACAGAAACUGCAGAGAUCUUGUGGGCAUGGGCAUCUUCCUCUUUCCUCAUGGCCAAAAUACCAUCCUGAUGUGACCCAGCAUUUAAAGAAUAAGCUAAAUUAACCCUAUACUGUCUCAGCCAUGAUCAGAAUACUAAAUCCAGCUCCACAUCCACAGUGGGUGAAGUUAAUAAACCGAAAGGUGUCAAAACCAAAGUGAAAAUGAAAGGGAAGGGGAUAGGAGGAACACCCUUUCUGCUGAGAAGUUCUACGGGCUGAAAAUGUUUGAUAAAAUAAAAGAGACUCAAGAUUCACACCAAAAAAAAAAAAAAAAAAAAA